Molecule: ribosomal RNA, 613 nt
Filed under: uncultured bacterium
Lineage: Bacteria
Description: bacterial SSU rRNA
Rfam family: Bacterial small subunit ribosomal RNA (bases 1-519)
Source: RNAcentral
CCUACGGGAGGCAGCAGUGGGGAAUAUUGGACAAUGGGCGAAAGCCUGAUCCAGCAAUGCCGCGUGAGUGAUGAAGGCCUUAGGGUUGUAAAGCUCUUUUACCAGGGAUGAUAAUGACAGUACCUGGAGAAUAAGCUCCGGCUAACUCCGUGCCAGCAGCCGCGGUAAUACGGAGGGAGCUAGCGUUGUUCGGAAUUACUGGGCGUAAAGCGUACGUAGGCGGUUAUUCAAGUCAGAGGUGAAAGCCUGGAGCUCAACUCCAGAACUGCCUUUGAAACUAGAUAGCUAGAAUCUUGGAGAGGUGAGUGGGAUUCCGAGUGUAGAGGUGAAAUUCGUAGAUAUUCGGAAGAACACCAGUGGCGAAGGCGACUCACUGGACAAGUAUUGACGCUGAGGUACGAAAGCGUGGGGAGCAAACAGGAUUAGAUACCCUGGUAGUCCACGCCGUAAACGAUGAUAACUAGCUGUUCGGGCUCUACGAGCUUGAGUGGCGCNGCUACGACAUUAAGUUAGUCCGUCCGUCGGGAGGUACGGUCGCGAGAAGUUAAACGUAACGUAAAGUUAAGUUAGUACGGCGUUGAGACGNGCCGACGGACGACGACGAGGGAGGAGG